AUGGGGAAUGUUGUCCUGCUUCUGAGGUUCAGAUAUACAACUCAACCAUGGGCAGCUGAGGAUGGACUUUCUGCCUCGAUAGGUUUCUGUGGACAAAGACAUAAUUUUGAGCUGCCAGCAUCCCCAAAGAUGUCAGAAAUGUCAUUCACCUG
This 152-nucleotide long non-coding RNA is filed under the name Manacus vitellinus (golden-collared manakin). RNAcentral's name for it is "lncRNA (ENSMVIG00005017317.1)". Lineage: Eukaryota; Metazoa; Chordata; Aves; Passeriformes; Pipridae. The record is from RNAcentral.